AAGCUCUCUUUCUUCACAGUAACGGUAACAAGAACUAUCGUUUCAAAUCUUGACGAUUCUGUUUCUGUUUUCAUCUAGGGUUUCUGUCUUCAUCUAGGGUUUCUGUCGAGUGUUCGUUGUAAUUUGAAAUUGGAACGAUGCUCUGUUUGAUGCUAAUGCGUGCGAUUAAACUGAACACAGUUCGAUUAUUGUUCCUGCAUCUAUGUUCGUUUGCUUUUUUUUUUCUUUUGAAUGAUCGUUGCAAUAUCAUUUGUGUAGGGAUUGGAUCUUCGGAUCGAUGUAAUUUUUAACUCGUUAGGGUUUUAAUUCGUUAAGAACCGAAUGAAUCAAAAUACUUAUGAACUAAAUCCAAUCAAAUCCCCGUUCAUUGGUAUGAUCUUGUAUUCUCAAUAAGAGAAAGCAAAAUGUAAUAGGGUUGUUCUUCGAGCGCCUGGAUUUAAGGGACACGACAGUAAAUAGAUUUACCACUCUAUUGAGAAUUUAGUCUCUGUUCUUUGAAGUUCUUAAAAACUUUCUAUACCGUGCUUUUCAUUCGAAGUUCAUCAAGCGUAUAGCUCCCUUUUAGAGACAGGAUUCUUCUUGUUUUCUGCCUAAUUGAAAGAGAAAGAUUGCUAUGUUUUUAGUUUUAUGUUCAAUUAAACACUCUUUGCAUACCUUAGUUAGCAUGAUUGUUUAGUCAAUCAAGUAUCUCAUAUCCAAACUUUCCAGGUUUGUGGCCUGUUAAGACUCUUAGAACAGCUGUUGGUUGAAAGAAUUGGAUAAUCAGUAAGGAUGACAUUAUUGUCUGGAAGAAGUUUUCCAUUGAACCCCAAUGCUCCAAUCUUCGUUCCGUUUGCUCUUCGUAAUGUCGAGGAUUUCUCUCCAGAAUGGUGGGAACUCGUCACGUCGCCGUGGUUCCAGUACUACUGGUUAAGCCAACAUCAGGAAGAUGAUUUCGACAGCAGUACCAAUGAUUUUGUCACGACAGAAGAGUUUCUUGAUCUGGAAGAGGCGGAGUUUGAGGCUAUGGUUCAAUCAACUGAAGCAGAUGAAAAGCCUGAUAUUAAACCAACCGCUCCUAAGAAUCUCAUAAAAGGUGCAAGCCAUGAAAUGGAUGCCAAAAGAUUAUUGGAGGAUCUAGUCAUUCCAAAAUCUCCAAAGGCUCCAGUUUGUCCUGCAAAGUACAAUGAGAAGUCAGCCAAGUGCAGGAGCCCCAAACACACUCCAAGGUUCAUUCACCAGCCUCGUUGAAAAAGAGAUGCAAACUGGAUGCUGGAAGUACAAUCGUGUUUAUCGGGGUCUUGUACUCACACAGAUCAUGAAAUUAGAGCUGCAUAAAGAAGUUGAUUCCAAGCAUCAGGAAGGCCAGCAAUGCACCAAUGUAUGCAGUCCAUUUCUCUAAGGCCACUGUAUUUGCCUGGAUGAGCAUCCUUUCUAAGCUGAGACAGAGUUGUUAUGUUGAGCAAGUGAACUGGGUUUGAUAUUCCAUUCAAUACUUUCUGGAGUGUGAAUGAUGCUGCUGGCAAACCUCCUGGGUAUGUUGAUCCCGCUACUGGACUUGUUUCGUUCCCACAAUUUUUUGCUCCCGGCUCGUUCCAGUCUUUGCCACUGUCGAGAAAAAAAUGAAAGGAAAUGAGUUCAAGUCAUGCAUUCGUAAGAAUAAAAACCUCCUAAACUGGUACGUUUUUUUUCUUUGAAUGUGUUGUUAGACACGCAUUCUAAUGAAAUAAUCUAACUAUAGUUCAGGAAAUCA
Molecule: non-coding RNA, 1732 nt
Organism: Cucurbita pepo subsp. pepo (vegetable marrow)
Lineage: Eukaryota; Viridiplantae; Streptophyta; Magnoliopsida; Cucurbitales; Cucurbitaceae
Source: RefSeq, a predicted model, not a curated record